GUAGCUACCUUUGGAUGCGUUCUAGCAAAAUCUACGAGUAAACCAAGAAAUAAGGAGGAUAUGGGAACCAGGAAAAUGUGAGUUUAACCCAGAACAUCAGUUCAAGCAAAAUUGCAAGGUUGCCAGCGGAAGAGAAAAUGAGAGGGGGCUCAAACAAGAAAAGCAUGAUGAUAAAACUGACAACGCAAGGAUGCUAACUGGCUGACGACCAUGCCAGCAGAGAAAAGAUAGAAGCUAAUUAAAGAAACUAUUAUGAUCACCAUUCUGCAUGGAUUCCAGGACAGAAGGAAAGGUAAUAAACCUCUGUCUUUCCACUUCCUGCCAGGUCUUCUUUCCCAUUACCUUAUUAUUUGACUCCUAGCUUCUGUCAGAGAAUAUAAGAAAA
Equus caballus (horse) is the source of this 385-nucleotide non-coding RNA. The record is from RefSeq and is a predicted model, not a curated record. Lineage: Eukaryota; Metazoa; Chordata; Mammalia; Perissodactyla; Equidae.